GCAUAUCAAUAAGCGGAGGAAAAGAAACCAACAGGGAUUGCCCCAGUAACGGCGAAGUGAAGCGGCAACAGCUCAAAUUUGAAAUCUGGCUUCGGUCCGAGUUUGUAAUUUGCAGAGGAUGUUUAUGGUGCGGUACCUUCCGAGUUCCCUGGAACGGGACGCCACAGAGGGUGAGAGCCCCGUCUGGUUGGAUGCCAAACCUGUGUUAAACUCCUUCAACGAGUCGAGUAGUUUGGGAAUGCUGCUCUAAAUGGGAGGUAAAUCUCUUCUAAAGCUAAAUACCGGCCAGAGACCGAUAGCGCACAAGUAGAGUGAUCGAAAGAUGAAAAGCACCUUGAAAAGGGGGUUAAACAGUACGUGAAAUUGUUAAAAGGGAAGCGUUUAUGACCAGACUUGUGUCGUGUGGCUCAUCCGAGGUUCUCCCCGGUGCACUCCACACGGCUCAGGCCAACAUCGGUUCUCGUUGGGGGAUAAGAACAGUAGGAACGUGGCCCCUCUCGGGGGGUGUUAUAGCCUACUGUACGAUACCUUGAUGGGGACCGAGGACCGCGCUUCGGCUAGGAUGUUGGCGUAAUGGUCAUUAGCGACCCGUCUUGAAACACGGACCAAGGAGUCGUCCAUUAGAGCGAGCGUUUGGGUGUAAAACCCGCACGCGUAAUGAAAGUGAAAUUAGGUGAGAGCUUCGGCGCAUCAUCGACCGAUCCUGAAGUUUACGGAUGGAUUUGAGUAAGAGUUUUAACGGACGGACCCGAAAGACAGUGAACUAUGCUUGAAUAGGGUGAAGCCAGAGGAAACUCUGGUGGAAGGCUCGCAGCGGUUCUGACGUGCAAAUCGAUUCGUUCAAAUUUGGAGCAAUGGGGGCGAAAAGACUAAUCGAACUGUCUAGUAGCUGGGUUACCGCCGA
Molecule: ribosomal RNA, 904 nt
Filed under: Sirococcus conigenus
Lineage: Eukaryota; Fungi; Ascomycota; Sordariomycetes; Diaporthales
Description: LSU rRNA
Rfam family: Eukaryotic large subunit ribosomal RNA
Source: RNAcentral